Molecule: non-coding RNA, 63 nt
Organism: Drosophila melanogaster (fruit fly)
Lineage: Eukaryota; Metazoa; Arthropoda; Insecta; Diptera; Drosophilidae
Gene: mir-14
Source: Ensembl
UGUGGGAGCGAGACGGGGACUCACUGUGCUUAUUAAAUAGUCAGUCUUUUUCUCUCUCCUAUA